GAUGAACGCUGGCGGCGUGCCUAAUACAUGCAAGUCGGACGCACCACUUCGGUGGUGAGUGGCGAACGGGUGAGUAAUACAUAAGUAACCUGCCCUUGCGAGGGGGGAUAACUAUUAGAAAUGAUAGCUAAGACCGCAUAGGUAUAUGUGUCGCAUGACGCAUAUAAUUAAAAAUCCCACGGGAUUGCGCAAGGAUGGACUUAUGACGCAUUAGCUAGUUGGUGAGGUAACGGCUCACCAAGGCGACGAUGCGUAGCCGGCCUGAGAGGGUGGACGGCCACACUGGGACUGAGACACGGCCCAGACUCCUACGGGAGGCAGCAGUAGGGGAUAUUGCACAAUGGAGGAAACUCUGAUGCAGCAACGCCGCGUGAAGGAUGAAGGCCUCGGGUCGUAAACUUCUGUCCUUGGGGAAGAAGAACUGACGGUACCCUUGGAGGAA
Molecule: ribosomal RNA, 442 nt
Filed under: uncultured bacterium
Lineage: Bacteria
Description: bacterial SSU rRNA
Rfam family: Bacterial small subunit ribosomal RNA
Source: RNAcentral